GAUGAACGCUGGCGGCGUGCCUAAUACAUGCAAGUCGAGCGAAUGGAUUAAGAGCUCGCUCUUAUGAAGUUAGCGGCGGACGGGUGAGUAACACGUGGGUAACCUGCCCAUAAGACUGGGAUAACUCCGGGAAACCGGGGCUAAUACCGGAUAACAUUUUGAACCGCAUGGUUCGAAAUUGAAAGGCGGCUUCGGCUGUCACUUAUGGAUGGACCCGCGUCGCAUUAGCUAGUUGGGGAGGUAACGGCUGACCAAGGCAACGAUGCGUAGCCGACCUGAGAGGGUGAUCGGCCACACUGGGACUGGGCCACGGCCCAGACUCCUACGGGAGGCAGCAGUAGGGAAUCUUCCGCAAUGGACGAAAGUCUGACGGAGCAACGCCGCGUGAGUGAUGAAGGCUUUCGGGUCGUAAAACUCUGUUGUUAGGGAAGAACAAGUGCUAGUUGAAUAAGCUGGCACCUUGACGGUACCUAACCAGAAAGCCACGGCUAACUACGUGCCAGCAGCCGCUGUAA
This 515-nucleotide ribosomal RNA is filed under the name uncultured bacterium. RNAcentral describes it as "partial 16S ribosomal RNA". It matches the Rfam family "Bacterial small subunit ribosomal RNA", at positions 28 to 523 of the family's 1533-position model. The record is from RNAcentral.